RNAcentral lists this ribosomal RNA (497 nucleotides) under uncultured bacterium. RNAcentral describes it as "partial 16S ribosomal RNA". It matches the Rfam family "Bacterial small subunit ribosomal RNA", at positions 28 to 507 of the family's 1533-position model. The record is from RNAcentral.
GAUGAACGCUGGCGGCGUGCCUAAUACAUGCAAGUCGAGCGAACGGACGAGAAGCUUGCUUUUCUGAUGUUAGCGGCGGACGGGUGAGUAACGCGUGGAUAACCCACCUAUAAGACUGGGAUAACUUCGGGAAACCGGAGCUAAUACCGGAUAAUAUUUUGAACCGCAUGGUUCAAAAGUGAAAGACGGUCUUGCUGUCACUUAUAGAUGGAUCCGCGCUGCAUUAGCUAGUUGGUAAGGUAACGGCUUACCAAGGCAACGAUGCAUAGCCGACCUGAGAGGGUGAUCGGCCACACUGGAACUGAGACACGGUCCAGACUCCUACGGGAGGCAGCAGUAGGGAAUCUUCCGCAAUGGGCGAAAGCCUGACGGAGCAACGCCGCGUGAGUGAUGAAGGUCUUCGGAUCGUAAAACUCUGUUAUUAGGGAAGAACAUAUGUGUAAGUAACUGUGCACAUCUUGACGGUACCUAAUCAGAAAGCCACGGCUAACUACGUG